AAAAACAGCAUGAAAAAGAGGAAAGAACUUGUGACACAGAAAUGACUAAACUUUAUGAAAUCUGUAGACAAAUGAGUCUGUUGUAACCGUCUUUGUCUUUUUUUUCUAAAUUGUUUGUGUUCUGAGUGAAGUUUGUGCGUUUUCUUUGUCUCAUGGGGUCAGAAGUGGCUGUUUGGUGAGCUUCCUUCUUUCUUCAAGAAGUCUGGUGGGUCUUUAGUUCCGUUUUCAGCUCUGAUCGCUGCAGAAAAAUGGAAGCCGUGGUCCGACUGUUGUUGCUGUUAGUAGGAGUCGCUCAUGGUGAGUCAACGUUUUGAAGUUUUAUCUGACAGAAACUGAGUUUCUCUAUCAAAAGUUUAAAAACUAGAGAACUCUUGUGUUUUGCUUUUUCCAGCUUAGAAUUAUUUGAACUACAAAUAUAUAACGUUUACAGCGACUGCUCAAGUGUGACAUAAACUUCAAAAGCCCAAACUCUGAAAAGUGCUUCUGUCACAAACAAGAGAACAUCAAUUUAGACUAAACAGUUGAAAACUAAAAUUCUAAAACAUUUGAAAGGAUUUGCUGUAUGUGUUUAUGUGGUCCCACAUUAAAUAGAAACAUUGAAACUAAUAACGAUACUUUUUCUUUUUUAGGUACAGAGACUUUCUGUGAUUCAAGACAGGAUAAAGCUCAGUGUUAUGGAGCUGAUGGUGGAACUGUGUUCAUACAGCUGAUCAACGAAGACACAGAGACAGACAAUAAAUUUGAAUGGAUGAAGGAUAACUUGGUAUUACUUAAAGGGAAAAAUAAUUCCAUACUAUCUAAUGAAUUGAAGAACAGAUCUUCAUUUUUUUUCAACAAUGGAACAUUUAUGAUUAAAAACCUGAGUAAAAGUGACAGCGGUGAAUAUAAACUCACACUGUAUAACUCAGAGGGAAAGAUUAUCAAAAGACGGUCUACAAGGUUAACUGUUAAUGAAAGGAAUCCGCUGUCCAUCCUGGCUGUUUUGCUUUCACUUCUGUUAAUCUGCUUAAUUGCUGGAACUGUUGUCAUCUGUGUCUUGAAAAAAAACAAAAACAAAGGCGAUCAUCAAAUAAUCUAUGCUGAAGUUCAGAUGAAGCAGCAGCAGAAGAAGAGGAGAAUCUCUGAAAAGUUAGAAGUGGAGGUGGAGUACAGUGAAGUGAAGUUUGCAGAGCGCCCUCGUCAGACUGAGCCUGCAAAUUAUGAAGCGUAAGCAGACCGUGGUUUCAGAUGAAGCUAAAGAAGAGUUCAAUAAAGGUCAAAUGAACAGCGGAGUCAGUGGAAAAGAUUCCCUGGACUCCUGUGUUGAUUUGUGGUUUUCUAUUGCAGGUUCAAAGGAGAUUCAAGUUGAGGAAGAUGAAGAGAUCCGCAGGAUCUUCCUAAAAGAUGCACUUUGAUCUGUUUGUAUGCAGCUGCCCUAAUUUUCUUUUCUUUUUCUCUAUAUUAAUGUGGGUUACAUUGAGAACAUGAGAAUGUGAGGAAACUGCUGUAAUUUCUUCCUUUGGCUUCUUUUUGUUCAGUGCUUGAUAUAUGGGCCUCGUAAUAAGACAUCUUAAAGGCUAUUUUAUGUUAUUUAAAGAUGGUAUUGUUUGUUUUUCAUAAUUUCUCAGUAACGCAAAGCAGCAAAUUGAUCAAAAGAACCACAUGAUCCACAAAAUGGAAAAACAAGCUAUGUUUGUGAUGAACAAAGGAAAACGUUUGGAAGCUUCUUGAUAACAGCUCACAUACUCACUAACAUAUGUUUUAAAGUUAUAGAAAAGAAACCCAGACUCUUAAACUUUAAAUGAUUGCAAAAAAGGAUAAUAUGAAUUUAAUAAAAACAUAAGGAGGACCAUCACUUCUUCUGUCUGCACAAAGUCAGUCAAAGUUGUUCCAAACUGAAACUUAAGUCAAACUCAGUUUGUUGUCUGUAAGAAAAAUCAACAAAACUGCAAAAAUUCACAUCCUGAAUGUGAUUCAGAGGCAACCAAUUAAAAAAUUGAAGCCAUCGUUCUACAGAUUCCUUAGUUUCAUAUUCUUUUGAUCAAGAAAGUAGACAGAAAAGCACACUACAGAUGUGAAACUGAAAAAAAAACUCAACUGUUUUCUACAGUAAGUUAUUUGUGUUUCAUUUGUUUGUUGACUUUCUGUUUUUUGCACUUGGAUGCUAAGCAUGUUCUUUCCAGUUGUGACAUGUACAAAGUCCCUGAUCUAUGAAUUAGCAUGUUGUUUAACCAACAUCAAGGAUGGACACGUCAACAGCCUUUCAGAAGCAGUUUGUCUUUGUAUUUUCUGUGCUGAUGGUUCAGUGCUGUGCAGCAUUUGUGAGGAUAGAAUUUUACGUUGUUUGAUUAUUUUGCUCUUUUUGAAAUUUCUCUUUUUUGCAGAUGCACAAUUUAUAAAGUAACAAAUAAAAAUUUGUAGAAAAAGAAAAA
This 2411-nucleotide long non-coding RNA is filed under the name Oryzias sinensis (Chinese medaka). RNAcentral describes it as "lncRNA (ENSOSIG00000009765.1)". Lineage: Eukaryota; Metazoa; Chordata; Actinopteri; Beloniformes; Adrianichthyidae. The record is from RNAcentral.